This 460-nucleotide ribosomal RNA is filed under the name uncultured bacterium. Its description in RNAcentral is "partial 16S ribosomal RNA". It matches the Rfam family "Bacterial small subunit ribosomal RNA", at positions 338 to 795 of the family's 1533-position model. The record is from RNAcentral.
CCUACGGGAGGCAGCAGUGAGGAAUAUUGGUCAAUGGACGAGAGUCUGAACCAGCCAAGUAGCGUGAAGGAUGACUGCCCUCUGGGUUGUAAACUUCUUUUAUAUGGGAAUAAAACGUUCCACGUGUGGGAUUUUGUAUGUACCAUAUGAAUAAGGAUCGGCUAACUCCGUGCCAGCAGCCGCGGUAAUACGGAGGAUCCGAGCGUUAUCCGGAUUUAUUGGGUUUAAAGGGAGCGUAGGUGGAUUGUUAAGUCAGUUGUGAAAGUUUGCGGCUUAACCGUAAAAUUGCAGUUGAAACUGGCAGUCUUGAGUACAGUAGAGGUGGGCGGAAUUCGUGGUGUAGCGGUGAAAUGCUUAGAUAUCACGAAGAACUCCGAUUGCGAAGGCAGUUCACUGGACUGCAACUGACACUGAGGCUCGAAAGUGUGGGUAUCAAACAGGAUUAGAUACCCGAGUAGUC